GUUAUGUGGAAAAGCCUCGUGAUCCUCACAGAAAAUUUUAUUCUUAUUAGUUAUUAUUAGUAUUAAUCAACUUCAGCUUAGUGUGUUCUGAAUCAAUAUUUCACUCUUGGUGCAAACGUUUGAUUGAUACUGUAGGUAUAGAGUGUGUCUAACUAAAAAUCCAUCUUGGUCUUCUGUGUAAGGUACAGUAGGCUCGGUUCAGGGCGGCUAGUUAAAACAGUAAUGAAAAAGUAAUUUGAUUAUUUUUACUUAUUUGAUAAGCAUGUUGCUAGUUAGCGUUUAUCAGCUACCGGCCGUCGUUUUUAAUUUAACAUUUCAGAGUAAAUGAAGAUGAAUUAGCGAUUAUCUCAUUUGAUUUUUGUUUUUACAGAACAUUUGAAGAACUAGCUUGAUUAGGAGAAUGACAAAAAAAAGAAAUCGUACCACAACAAGUAAGGCUGAAAUGUCUACAAUUUAACUGACAUUUACAGUGUCAGGGUUUUGAAUUAAAAUCAUGAAUUCAUAUUGUGAAUACAUCGUUUUUUUCUAACUGUAAUUUUUACCCGGUAAGUAUGAUAAGAACAGAUUCUUAUUCAGAGCAAUGACCUGAGAGCAGUUAUGAUUAUGAUUUUGCUCACUAACAUUUUCCUAGUUAUUGUGACCAAAACAUACCGGAAAUGAUCAAAGAUGUUGAAAUUAAAGUGAAAUAUUAACAAUCCCCAUUUUUCUUUGCAAAUGUCUUCAUCUGAAAGCAAGAGCAUACAUAUUGAUUUAUUUCCAGGUGUCACAUCAAACCAGCCUAGGUCACUCAGGCCGCGAAAGAGAACAUGCUAUGGUGAUGCGUUAGGAAAGAGUACCCCCUCUGGAGAAGCAAUGGAAGCAAAGCCCUUAAAGCUACAAAAGGACACUGUAGGAACAGUGCUGACAACUGCCUCACCUGAAAAUCCACACACCCCUCCCCUGGACUGUACCAGUGGUCCACUUCAGCAGACUCUCUCAGCGGGUGAUACCACUGUAUCGAAGCAAGAGGGCGGGGAGGGUGCUCAUAGGUUGAUGGAGUCCUCCGUUAAAGGUGACAAGGUUGUGUUAGAAAAGGUAUCGACGCUGAGGUUCCUCAGUCCCGCCCUGGACCCACCACCAACUGUAGCCAACCCUCACCCCUACACCCCGCCCUCCCUAACGUCUCAGGGGGUCAAAGCCGGGCAUCCCCGGCCCUCCCUGCCGACCUCCGAAGGGGUCAAAUUUGGGGAAUGGGAUGGUCAAACGACCAGUGCAGAAGAUCACUGUGGAGAGAAGAACACGGAGCCUAAAAUGGAGGAGAGACACUGCGAACAGCCGGAGGCCGCGGAUGAGAGAGACGGGAGACAGAAUCCACCAGUGAAAGACAGAUCCAGGGAACCACAGACGAAGAGGAGGAAGAGGAUGGGGAUGUGUGGGCUAGGAGAGAGGGAGAGGAGAUGUGGAGUGGAGGAGGAGUGGCUGCAGGAAAGAAAGACUUUGAAAGAAAAUGGGAUGGUAAUGAGGAGAGCAGAAGAGGAGGAGAUGGAGGAGGACGAGGGGCAAAGUGGCGACGGCAGUGGGGCCGGCCUUGUGGCCGUGGAGGGAACUGCAUCGAGAGCCGCGUCAUCCUCUGACCUCGCCCUCCUUUCAUCCCUCCCUCCCUCCGACCCCACAGGGGUUAACACUGAGCAGAAGGAGGGUGAGGAGGAGAAGGAGGAAGAGGAGCCCCGGCGGUCUGGCGACGAGGCCGGUCGUUUAAGCCCCGGCCGUGUGUCUGUUUCUGGGCCAGACCCGGUCGCGGAGGUCCUGGAGGUGGGACCACAGCAGCCUGUGAUGCUGGGUGACGAGGAGCUCGGCAUGAUGGGGGUUGUGGAGGACAACCAGGAGGGAGACAGGAGGGGAUAUAGUGCUACUGAUCCUCCGUCCUUCUCCAGCGGCCCUCCACCCACCCCUCUGGAGGAAGAGUCCGCGGUAGAAGUCUGGAACCUACCUAACCGGAGAGAGACGGGGUCAGAGGUCGGGGUUCAUUCCCUGGCUCGGUCAGAGGUCGGGGUUCAUUCCCCGGCUCCCAUUCUGCCUGAGGGCCGUGUCCAUAGAGCUGACAGCACCCAGGCAGAGUCAGAACACAAGGACUCCUCAGACCAACCUCUGCCCACAAAGCCGGAUCCUGGAGCGGCCCUGGGUAACCCCAGGGGGCCUGGUGACGCUGCACUGACCCCUGGUGGCCAGGAGGAGUAUAUCCAAUCAGUCCCGGUGGUUCUGUCCAGAGUGGACCAUGAAGAUGCUGUCCAUCCGCAUGGGGAAGAGGCCCGGGACUACAUAUCUGACUCUCAGCUCAACACCAUUACUCUGCUUGAGGAUGAGGAUGGACACGAAGAGGGAGAGCAUGAAGACGCCUCAGAACUGGUCUGUGGCCUGAUCAGAGAACUCUCCUCUCUAAACCGGCUCGUGAUGGCUACGGAUCGGGAGCUGGAGACUUUUCGCCGUGGAAAGAAGACCGCAAGGACCCCGACACAUCGUGUGUUCCCCCCACGACGGACUGAGAUCUAGGAUGCCCCAUUUUAGACGUGGCUUUAAUCGUCACAACGUCCCCGAAGGCUAACAAAGCCCGCACACAGUGGAAGUUAAUUUGAGACUUAUAGAUGAAAAUCAGUUUAUUAAAAACAGCGAUCCUUAUUGUCAACACAUUGAAACGCAACUUUCAUUUCUGUUAAGGGAUAUGGACGUAACCUUGUAAUUAUGCCAGUUUUACCGAUGCAUUUCUGUUGCCGUUUUAUUCCCUUGUUCCCCUAAUGCCGAGGACUUGUUAUAGUGACAUGUGAACUUUCUAAUAAAUCAAGC
This is a long non-coding RNA of Esox lucius (northern pike), 2820 nucleotides long. Lineage: Eukaryota; Metazoa; Chordata; Actinopteri; Esociformes; Esocidae. The record is from Ensembl.